CUUUUUCCACACGGGUAGCUUAGGAGGAAUCCGCCGCGCAAAUCUGUCCGCCCCCUUGGCCACUGAGCCCCUGAAGAGCUUCUGUCGCCGCUCUAGGGUAAAGGAGAGCUGCUCCUGCCCCCGCCUUUCUGAGAAUACAGACAUUGAAGUUUGGGACAAGAUAUUUAUCUAACUUCUGUGUCAAAAUUAACGACCUGCUAUGGCAAUGAAGAAAGAAACUAAAUUUGUCAUUUUCACCUAAAGAAAAAUGAUAGACAAAAAUCAAACCUGUGGUCUAGGACAGGAUUCUGUGCCCUAUAUGCUUUGUCUGAUUCACAUACUGGAAGAAUGGUUUGGUGUGGAGCAGUUGGAGGACUAUUUGAAUUUUGCAAACUAUCUCUUGUGGGUUUUUACGCCGCUAAUACUUUUAAUACUUCCUUACUUUACUAUCUUUCUUCUCUACCUUACCAUUAUUUUCUUACACAUUUAUAAGAGAAAGAAUGUAUUAAAAGAAGCCUACUCUCAUAAUUUAUGGGAUGGUGCAAGGAAAACGGUGGCAACUCUGUGGGAUGGACAUGCAGCCGUUUGGCAUGGAGGAGUCUCUUCGUGCCCCUCCUGUGACCCCAGGAAAAGGUCGCCUCUGCUUAUAACUCCACAUGGAGGUUAUGAAGUUCAUGGAAUGGAGAAAAUACCAGAAGAUGGACCAGCACUUAUAAUUUUUUAUCAUGGAGCUAUUCCUAUAGAUUUUUACUAUUUCAUGGCCAAAAUAUUUAUACACAAAGGCAGAACUUGCCGAGUAGUAGCUGAUCACUUUGUCUUUAAAAUUCCAGGCUUUAGUUUAUUACUGGAUGUGUUUUGUGCUCUACAUGGACCAAGAGAAAAAUGUGUUGAAAUUCUGAGGAGUGGCCACUUGUUAGCUAUCUCACCAGGUGGAGUUCGAGAAGCCCUAAUUAGUGAUGAAACUUACAACAUUGUAUGGGGUCAUCGCAAAGGCUUUGCUCAGGUUGCAAUUGAUGCAAAAGUGAUGAGGAGACUCAGGCACAGAGAGAUGGAGGGAUGGAAGGGAUCUGGUCACUCAGCAAGGCAGCAGCAGAGCAGAGCACACAGUUCAGAACUCGAGGCAACUGGUAUUGUUGCCAUUCCUGACUACAUUGCACACCCAUUAUUCCUAUGUUUACACAAAAUAUUCGAGAAGGAUUUAGAUCACUUGGAGGAACAAGGUUAUUUAGGUGGCUUUAUGAAAAAUUCCGCUAUCCAUUUGCUCCAAUGUAUGGAGGUUUUCCAGUGAAGUUACGGACCUAUUUAGGUGACCCCAUUCCGUAUGACCCAAAGAUAACAGCAGAAGAAUUAGCUGAAAAGACGAAGAAUGCUGUUCAAGCUUUGAUUGAUAAGCAUCAAAGAAUACCAGGAAACAUUAUGAGUGCUUUGUUAGAACGUUUUCAUUGAUAAUAAAGGGUCAACUAGAAGAUGAUUUAAUACAUUUAUAUUUAUAUUAAGUGUUUGUAUCUAAGGUACUGUCUUCUGAAUUUUGUAGGUCCUAUAAUUAGUAUUUUUUUAAAAAAUCAUGUUAGUAAGCAUCUUUCACAGAAUUCAUUGGUUUAAAAUUGUAUUGUCAAAUUUGUUUUUGCUAUUGUGUCAAAUACUAACAAAUUACACACCUAAUAAUUCAGAAAAAUAUGUUUUAUUUGUAAAUUCCUAAUAAUGUAUGCUAAACCUAUAGAUUCUUAAAGUUAAGUUUAUUAAUAACAGCAGUUUAAGUUAAACAAACAUUCCUGGAUAACGCGUUAAAUUUCUGUAUCUGUUGCCCUGAGCUGAUUUUGAUAGAUGGCGUAAGCUAGGGGUUAGUAUAGUUGUUUAAAUUAGAAAAAAACGUGCUGUUUUCUGCGCCUCAUUCCCUUCAUGACCUUGGGCAAGUCAUGUAAUGUUUUUGUGCCUCAACAAUUAACUUUUUAAAAACAUGAUCAUAUGGUGAAUGAUAUUAUUUUGUUAUUUAUAUUUGCUGUGAUUGAUAACUAUUGAACCAAAAUUAUAAUUAAUUUAAAAAAUGUCAAAAUCCUUUAGGAGUUAUGUAUAUAUUUUCUCCAUUGUGUAUUUAAAUUAUGUCUUCAGAUAUCAUGUCCAGUUGCCAAGCACAAUGAAAAAGAUGUAUUAUUUUUUAAAUUGAAUAAAAAAGAAAUUAGGAAAAAUAAAAUUUCUUAUUUUUUUUAGUAUGAUAUUUUUAACAAGACUCUAUAAGCAAACAAUAUAGGGUAUGCUGUGCAUUGUCACCCCUAUACUAUGGUCUUAAUAACGCCAGUUAAAAAUCACUGUUGUGCUCUGCAUUUCGUGUGUUAGAAGCUGAUUCUAAGCUGAGGAAAACAGAAUUCUCUACUUUUGCUCACUAUUGAGGCUUACCCAGUUUGACUCUGCAGCCAAUGAAGUGGUUUAUUGCUUCAAUAAAAAUAUACUUGAAUGAUAAAUUUAUUUAUUUUUGUUUUGUUUUGUUUUUAUUUAGAGAUGGGGUUUUGCCAUGUUGGCCAGGCUGAUCUCAAACUCCUGACCUUAGGUGAUCCACCCGCCUCAGCCUCCCAAAUUGCUGGGAUUACAGGUGUGAGCCACCAUGCUCGGCCUGAACGAUAAAUAUAUGUGAACACAGAGCCCUGUGAAAAAUUAAUGAUUUUCAAUUUGUCUUCUUGAAAAAUGAAUUUAAGUAUUAUUUAAACAGAAAAGUGUCAGAAAUCAAAUACAGUAUCUCCCUCUCCCUUUUUUAAAUGUUAAAUUACUAGGGUUUUUGUAUAGCUUUUUGUAUUGUGUGUAUUUAUGAUAUGUGAAAUGUGUAUAAAAUUAAACAAUGUGAAAAUAAA
Chlorocebus sabaeus (green monkey) is the source of this 2822-nucleotide RNA transcript. It is a transcript of the gene named transmembrane protein 68, with no coding region annotated. Lineage: Eukaryota; Metazoa; Chordata; Mammalia; Primates; Cercopithecidae. The record is from RefSeq and is a predicted model, not a curated record.